Molecule: ribosomal RNA, 253 nt
Filed under: uncultured bacterium
Lineage: Bacteria
Description: partial 16S ribosomal RNA
Rfam family: Bacterial small subunit ribosomal RNA
Source: RNAcentral
UACGUAGGUGGCGAGCGUUGUCCGGAUUUACUGGGCGUAAAGAGCGCGCAGGCGGUCGGAUCAGUCGAAUGUGAAAGCCCCCGGCUUAACUGGGGAGGGUCAUUCGAUACUGUUCGACUCGAAGGCAGGAGAGGGAAGUGGAAUUCCUGGUGUAGCGGUGAAAUGCGCAGAUAUCAGGAGGAACACCGGUGGCGAAGGCGGUUCUCUGGGCCUGUACUGACGCUGAGGCGCGACAGCGUGGGGAGCAAACAGG